RNAcentral lists this long non-coding RNA (381 nucleotides) under Elaeis guineensis (African oil palm). RNAcentral's name for it is "long non-coding RNA (EGUI_LNC053665)". Lineage: Eukaryota; Viridiplantae; Streptophyta; Magnoliopsida; Arecales; Arecaceae. The record is from RNAcentral.
AGAGAAAGAAACUAAUUUAUUGUUGAAAUAAAAUUUUUGAUAUAAAACCUUUUACUCUCAAGUCAUUAAUAGGGUUUGGAGUUAAAAUUAAAAAUAAAAAAUAAAAAUAAAAAAAGAAAAAAAUCUAAACUCAGAUCUCUUCCUACAAUCUUCUUCUGUAGGGUCUUCUGAUUCUCGCAUCUUUCUCUGGCUGUCUCUUCUUCUCAUACGUCGGAAGGGUGGAAGAAAGUAGGAAUAAGAUAGCUAGUGUUGGGUAUAAAAUACCCUCAGCCGAAGUUCUCAACGAGAUUGACCCUCACGGGCUCGUCUCCAACUCUGACACCAACUUCAACUGCAAGGAAGACUCCGUCCGGACUCCUACAGGAGCCGGGCUCCAUCGCC